GGGGAUGUUCUGGCUUCGACGCUGGUUGUGAAACUCUUCGAUGCAUGUCGAGAGCGCAUUAUCUCUCGUAAAUCAAUUUUGCAUUUUAAUAGUCGCAAACGACGAAACCUACGCACUCGCAGCCUAAGGGCUGAGAAUCGCCGCUAUUGAAUGUCUGUGGUCGAUAGCCGCGAGCGCAUGCACACAGAACCGCACACUGGGAUGUCCCGUAUCAGUGUGUCAACUCUAGGGAAUCGCGGUAACACCCCUGUCUGUCGGGUCGGUUAUUGUUAAACUAAAUGACAAGUACUAAACAUGUAGACUCACGAGCGUAGUGCUGGCGGACGCGGGUUCAACUCCCGCCAUCUCCACCA
RNAcentral lists this transfer-messenger RNA (353 nucleotides) under Aquirhabdus parva. RNAcentral's name for it is "Standard tmRNA". It matches the Rfam family "transfer-messenger RNA". From Rfam's summary of the family: Bacterial tmRNA, also known as 10Sa RNA or SsrA, is named for its dual tRNA and mRNA-like properties. Its role is to liberate the mRNA from a stalled ribosome. Lineage: Bacteria; Pseudomonadati; Pseudomonadota; Gammaproteobacteria; Moraxellales; Moraxellaceae. The record is from Rfam by way of RNAcentral.